UUAAGAAAAGAAAACAGUGCAACCUGACAGCUUCCCAUUAACGUUCCAAUUGUUUAACCAGCAGCUGCCUCUUCCUUGCGGGGACUUUGAACUGCGUGUCUUGAUUUCCCAUCCACCUGUCCACGUUCUCUGUGGAGCCCACACGGAAUCUUUCCCUAUAUAUCUCUCUGGCCUCCCCCUUUCUCUUCAUUCUCCUCUUCAAUAAUCAAACAUCUCUUGUUCUUGUUCACCCCUCUCUCUCUCUGUUUCUUGAUUGAUAUCUUUGAUUUCAAGAUUUACAAUGGCUUCUGCUUCAUUCAAGUCCUUGGCUGUUGUUUUCAUGGUGGCAGUUAUUGCUGCUGCAGCUUCUGUUUCAGCUCAAGAUUUGGCACCAGCACCAGCUCCAGCUAUGGAUAAAGGAGCUGCUUAUUCUCUGGGAAUGCCCGUAGCUGUGAUUUGCUCUUCUCUCUUGUUGUCCAUGCUUUCUCUCUUCAAGCACUAAAGAUCUCCUUUUUUGUUUUUUUUACAAGAUCCGAGAUGGGUUCUUAUUGUUUAUACAUAUUAUUACAUCUGUAUUAUUUUGGAGAGACAUAUUUUGAUGGAUUGAGCUGAGAGUUAUUGUUAUUUGAUUCAUUGGAUUUACUUACAGAUUGGAAUAAAGGAUUGAUUUUUAUAUAAAGAUUCAAUUUUUCCCAUCUUAAUUACAUGGGUUUUUCUCUUUCUUUCUCCUUUUCUUUUAGAAUUAUUUUUUGGAUGAGUUCUGAAUGCGUUGCUUUGAGCAAAUAUGUAAACGGAGGCUUUUGUUUAAUUGUUAAACAAGGAAGGGCUUUGACGACAAAGGUUAAGGGUAAAAUUGGAAAGACAAUUCGGCCUCCUACAGGUAAAUUUGUCAGUAAAAGUUAAACUAAUCAUAAAUUAAUUUUAUUUUUAACAAAAUUGUCAAUUAUUUGAAAUUUAAAAAAUUUAAUUGUUAUAUUAAUUUUAAAUAAGGACAACCUAAUAAAUUUUACUAAAUUUGAAAGACUUAAUUGUAAAUUACCCUUCCAAUUUCAACUCAAUUUUAACUUGAGAAAUUAAAUUUUUUAAGCUAAUUUUAUUUAUUUCUUGAUUGAAAAUAAAUAUCAAUAGACUUAAAUUCUC
Molecule: long non-coding RNA, 1119 nt
Filed under: Manihot esculenta (cassava)
Lineage: Eukaryota; Viridiplantae; Streptophyta; Magnoliopsida; Malpighiales; Euphorbiaceae
Description: long non-coding RNA (MESC_LNC003756)
Source: RNAcentral